AAUCAACGCUGGCGGCGUGCCUCAGACAUGCAAGUCGAACGCGAAAGUUCCCUUCGGGGGAUAAGUAGAGUGGCGUCCGGGUGAGUAACACGUAGGUAAUCUACCUUUGGGUGGGGAAUAACAACCGGAAACGGUUGCUAAUACCGCAUAGUGCAGCGGCACCACAUGGUGACAGUUGUUAAAGCGGGGGAUCGCAAGACCUCGCGCCUAAAGAGGAGCCUGCGGCGGAUUAGCUAGUUGGAGGGUAACGGCCUACCAAGGCAACGAUCCGUAGCCGGCCUGAGAGGGCGGUCGGCCACACUGACACUGAAAUACGGGUCAGACUCCUACGGGAGGCAGCAGUCGGGAAUUUUGGGCAAUGGGCGAAAGCCUGACCCAGCAACGCCGCGUGAAGGAU
This 397-nucleotide ribosomal RNA is filed under the name uncultured bacterium. RNAcentral describes it as "bacterial SSU rRNA". It matches the Rfam family "Bacterial small subunit ribosomal RNA", at positions 32 to 409 of the family's 1533-position model. The record is from RNAcentral.